Long non-coding RNA from Cygnus atratus (black swan), 2387 nucleotides. RefSeq lists it as uncharacterized. Lineage: Eukaryota; Metazoa; Chordata; Aves; Anseriformes; Anatidae. The record is from RefSeq and is a predicted model, not a curated record. The transcript is spliced from 4 exons.
UCAUAAUCCUUCAAUGUCUGGUGUGAAGGGAAACCUUAAUCAGCAGAAAAAGAACUGUUAAUGUUGGUAUCAUUUUACUGUUUAAUGGUAUGGUAGAUAUCAAUCUGCUUCCAUUUAGGAAAAGAAAAGCAGUGGUUUUGUUGUGAAAACUGCUUUAUGUGAUGUGAUAAGAGCUCAUAUUCCCAUCUGGCAAGAGGGAGCAGAACAUUCAAAUUAUUUUAGCUAGCCCUGUGUUACUAGUGGGAAAGGGAAUGAAACAUUGCUAUGGAAGUAAGUGAAUGCCUUACACUGAAGAUGUCAAAUGUGGAGUUGACAGCCAGGAUCCUCAACUACUGUACACAGUUUUGGACAAUUACUGGUUAAUACAGGUCUGUUUUCACAUUGUGCCGUGGAAGUGUAUUCAACAUCUCCAGAUCAUCUGAGUAUUUCACUACAUGUUCACUUAGAGUUUAACCCUGCUGAAUUCUCCGAAAUAUUUAACAGACUCUAGCCUGGGAAGAAUAUAAUGCAGAGUUAAGUGCACCACAGACUUAUUAAGCUGUCUGUGAACAGAAUUUAAUGGGAAGAACACACAUUCUUGGACAGUGCAGCAACCAAGCCUGAUCCUGCUUCCAGAGGAAUUCAAGUUGUUAAUUUCAGCAUUAGAAUGGAACUGCAACAUGUGGAAAUUCCACCUGUGAUGAGUGCAUCCUUUUCUGAUUUUGAAGACUUUUGCCAGCAGCCUCAGAAUAGACUUUAAGAACACAUGUUAAGUAAAGGCAAAGAAAAAAAGUUGAUGCUUUGCCUAGAUCUGGACUUAGGUAACAAAAAUGAAAUGGGAAAUGGUCUGAUCCCAGCAAAGUCAAAAGGAUUCUUCUUAUUUUAAUCAUCAGGGGUGGGAUUUUUCCCUCAUGUACAAAGAACAAUUCAGAAAUAAAUGGGUAUGAUCUAAUUAAUUACAAGCUCUGUUACUUUUUGAGUUUGUUUACUCAUGCUCAUAAAGACACAGAAUAUGCAGUAAUUGAAUUAUAUGUGGUUCUAUAUAGUUAGAGUACUGUUAGGAAGGCCUAUUCUGCUGGUCGAUUUCCUCAGGGUUCCACUGAGGUUUCUAUUCUUUUAAUUUGUUAGAUCUUCAUUCACAGCUUCAUAUUAAUUUAUGCACCAUGCUGAAUGUGAAUAAGUUAUCUGAUAAAGGUGCAAGGGAUUUUUAACUUUAUGAAGCUGAACUUUAUGACCAAUACUGAACUGAUGGCUGAGUUGAAUCCUUACCCAGAAUCCUUACUCGCUAUAUUACAUUAGCAGUCAGGAACCUGAUGUGUACUGUUGCACUAGUGAGGCAAAGAUCGCUUUCUCUAUACAAAACCUUUUAUUUUAGAAAUGAUUACAAUAUAGCCUUUGAACAGUGAUCCACUAAUAAUUUGAUUCUGUUUCCUGCAAACAUGGUGCUUGGCUUUUUGUACCAAACAGUGUCUUCUGUGUUGUAGAAACAAAUUGUAGAAGUAGGUGGAAAAUUUACUGGAGUUCUGAAAACAAACAGAACCGAAAUACAUUCAAAGCAUUUUAUCAAAAAAUAGGCACAAAAUACAAUGCUCCAUAUGAACAGAAUGGGUGUGGUGUCAUUCUGUGGGUUGUCCUAACAGUAGUACUUUGGGUCUGCACUGACAGUGCAUCUUUUUAUACACAACGGAAUCACACCAGCCCUUUUAAUAUAAUAAAAGGGCAAGUGCCCUUUUUGUCGCAGUCUGCUGUGACAGUGGCUAAACCCAUAUGAACAGUCUGAUUUGGACAGAGAAGUGCACAAGAAAAGGUUGUAUAAGGGGACCAACCAAGGUCAUCUCAGAAUUAACAGGACUUUAUACUUAUCUUCACAUUUUCAUGCUGCUAUAAUGAUGCCUACUUUUAAUAGCGGAAAUAUUCAAUAUUUUAAAAGAUCUGCAUAGGAAACAGGAGAAUGUUGCUUUUAUUUAUUGUUUUACUUGGCUAUAUAAUGCAUAGAGAGUAUACAGAGCGCCUAAAAGAUUUUUUUACUAUGACAUUGUUAUACUUAUACAUCAUUAUCUUAAAUUCUUACUGUACUCACUUCUUCUGUGGUAAUUCUUCUAAUUACUGAUAUCUGAACAAUAAACAAUAUAUAUUUUUUUUCAGUUACAUAUAUUAAAUCUUGUUGAUCCUUCUUCAUGUGCAAAACCAGUAUUAUUUAUUUACAAAAAUUGUAAAGUCCUAUUUAUUUAUGUAUUGUGAUGGAAUAAACAGGGAAUGGACUACUUGCAUCUUUACUUUGAAACAUAUACCUUUCUGAAACUUGUUUCCUAUUUUGUAUAAAAGAAAAUGUUAUCUCAACUGUCAUUACUUGAUAAAUGUGUGUAAAACAAUGGUUUAAAAACACUUUUGCUAAUCAUGAAGGAGUG